CUACGGGUUGCUCCAGUGGGGAAUAUUGCACAAUGGGCGCAAGCCUGAUGCAGCCAUGCCGCGUGUAUGAAGAAGGCCUUCGGGUUGUAAAGUACUUUCAGCGGGGAGGAAGGGAGUAAAGUUAAUACCUUUGCUCAUUGACGUUACCCGCAGAAGAAGCACCGGCUAACUCCGUGCCAGCAGCCGCGGGUAAUACGGAGGGUGCAAGCGUUAAUCGAAAUUACUGGGCGUAAAGCGCACGCAGGCGGUUUGUUAAGUCAGAUGUGAAAUCCCCGGGCUCAACCUGGGAACUGCAUCUGAUACUGGCAAGCUUGAGUCUCGUAGAGGGGGGUAGAAUUCCAGGUGUAGCGGUGAAAUGCGUAGAGAUCUGGAGGAAUACCGGUGGCGAAGGCGGCCCCCUGGACGAAGACUGACGCUCAGGUGCGAAAGCGUGGGGAGCAAACAGGAUUAGAUACCCCAGUAGUC
This 465-nucleotide ribosomal RNA is filed under the name uncultured bacterium. RNAcentral's name for it is "partial 16S ribosomal RNA". It matches the Rfam family "Bacterial small subunit ribosomal RNA", at positions 339 to 795 of the family's 1533-position model. The record is from RNAcentral.